UUCAGAGCUAACCGAAAUAUCGGAGAGAUUAAUUAAGUUCUCUGGCGUGUAGAGUAGCCCACCCUCAAUAAGGUUAGGGUCACUAACCGGUGGCUCAAACAUUUGGGAAAAAUGUGCAGAGAAUAGCUCACAGAUCUCAACAGGCGUAGAGGCAGUUCGAGAAUCAAGUACCAUUUCAUUAGGUAACGUAUUGCACCCUCUUCGAAUCCUAACAAAUUGCCAGAAGGAUGCUGGAUCAGAACGGAAACGCGAUUGCAGUCUACUCGAAUAGGCCUCAAAACAAGCCCUGUUGUAUAGUCGAUGCGCAGAGGCAGCGUACUUAAAUAAACGAAAGUUGAAAGCAGAUCGGUUCAGACGAUACCUCCUAAGAUAUUUCAUUCUAUCCUUUUUCAGGUUGCGAAGAGUACGAUUGGACCAGGGAGGAUUAGGAGGGGAACGAAAAAUAGGUGUACAUGAAAGGAGUGCAGAGGUUAACAAAGCAUUAAACGAUUGGACAGCCUCGUCGACCGAUGUACAUUGAUAAAAAAAAGACCAGUCGGAACGAGAUAGAAUUGAAUUAAGUUUACGAUAGUCUGUGAGCCGAAAAUGUUCCAGGUACUAUGUUCCAGGUACUGGGUUAUGUUGCAGAUCAAUUCAAGGACUGAUAUGGGGUAAGGAUCAAUUGAACGAUCGUUUUGAGUUUAGGAUCAGCUUCAGAUCCGGUAGGAGGUCACAAGAUGGUGUGAGGAGUAUUAGUUCCAGAACUGAUAUGAUAGAACAGAACUGAUCAGUUCCAGGAUCGGUAUGGGUUUAGGAUCAGUUCAAAGUGUGAUAUGGCGUCAGAAUCAAUUCCCGAAUCUAUCAAAAUAGAACACAAGACCUAGGACCGCAGUACGGAUGCAGUAUCAGCAUUCGAACCUCAACCUCACUUAGAGAAGACGAACCAACGAAUGUGCGGUUAAUAACUCUUUCUUAAAAAAUACAUUUCCUCCUACCGCAAUGAAUUCGUUCGUUUUCUGGUUUUGUUCGCGUGCUGUGUCUGCACAG
Long non-coding RNA from Anopheles arabiensis, 1026 nucleotides. RefSeq lists it as uncharacterized. Lineage: Eukaryota; Metazoa; Arthropoda; Insecta; Diptera; Culicidae. The record is from RefSeq and is a predicted model, not a curated record. The transcript has 3 exons.